GACGAACGCUGGCGGCGUGCUUAACACAUGCAAGUGGAGCGACGAACCAGGCUUCGGCCUGGGGCAGAGCCGCGAACGGGUGAGUAACACGUGGGUGACCUGCCCCGAUGACCGGGACAACCCGAGGAAACUCGGGCUAAUACCGGAUGUGCUCCCAGCCAUGGUGGGCUGGGAGGAAAGGUAGCUUCGGCUUCCGCAUUGGGAUGGGCCCGCGGCGCAUUAGCUUGUUGGUGGGGAAAGGCCUACCAAGGCGACGAUGCGUAGCUGGUCUGAGAGGACGAUCAGCCACACUGGGACUGAGACACGGCCCAGACUCCUACGGGAGGCAGCAGUGGGGAAUCUUGCGCAAUGCGCGAAAGCGUGACGCAGCAACGCCGCGUGGAGGAAGACGGCCUCGG
Molecule: ribosomal RNA, 398 nt
Filed under: uncultured bacterium
Lineage: Bacteria
Description: bacterial SSU rRNA
Rfam family: Bacterial small subunit ribosomal RNA
Source: RNAcentral